GGUAAGAUAAACCAUACACUUCUAAAUUGUAGAAAUUUUAUACCGUUAUUUUAUAAAUGGUUCUUAUAUACUAAACUUACUGCGUUUUCAAUGUUUUAAAUAUAUAAUAUUGAAUUCUUAUAAUUCCAAAAUAAAUGAAAUAAAAUAUCAACCAUAAAUUAUUUGUUGAUUCACGCGUCUUUGGUGGCGACCGUGGAAGUUCUUAUUAUUUAGAAUUGUAGAAGAAACCAAAUACAUCUAUUGAUACGACUGCGAGAAUGAACAGUAGCACAUUAUUUCUGAAAUCCACUAAAAUUAUAUCUUCUUUGCAGAUGGCGAAAAUUAUGUUUACUCUUUUAAUGGUGAUACUGAUGUUAUGCAUCAUUUCUGACGAAAUAUCAGCUAAAUAUUUUUUAGACUGGCAUCGUCACGAUGCACCCAGAUCACCAUCACCUAGUAGAGGAGGGCGUAGAAGCUGGAAGAAACGGGAUAUCGUAGAACACAUAGAUGAUGUGGAGAAGAUCCAACGAUAUGUACAUGACGGAAUGGAAGAUCCUUAAAGAACAAUAUUAACAGGCAAAUGUACUCCAACGAGAGUACCAGUGAAUGUGUAAGAUGAAGCUGACUAAAAAACAUAAUGCAGACAUUUCUGAUAUAUUAUUGUUUAUUUGAAGAGUUACUAAACAACUUAAAAUGGUA
This is a long non-coding RNA of Patella vulgata (common limpet), 678 nucleotides long. RefSeq lists it as uncharacterized. NCBI's taxonomy places the organism in Eukaryota, Metazoa, Mollusca, Gastropoda, Patellidae. The record is from RefSeq and is a predicted model, not a curated record. The transcript has 2 exons.